This 382-nucleotide ribosomal RNA is filed under the name uncultured archaeon. RNAcentral's name for it is "bacterial SSU rRNA". It matches the Rfam family "Archaeal small subunit ribosomal RNA", at positions 345 to 727 of the family's 1478-position model. The record is from RNAcentral.
AAACUCUACAAUGCAGGCAACUGCGAUAGGGGAACAUCGAGUGAUCCUCAUAUUGGGGGUCUGUCCACCCGCCUAAAAAGCGGGUGUUAGCAAGGGCCGGGCAAGACCGGUGCCAGCCGCCGCGGUAAUACCGGCGGCUCGAGUGGUGGCCGAUAUUAUUGAGUCUAAAGGGUCCGUAGCCGGCUUUGCAAGUCUCUCGGGAAAUCCAGCGGCUUAACCGUUGGUCGUCCGGGGGGUACUACAUUGCUUGGGACUGGGAGAGGCGAGAGGUACUCAGGGGGUAGGAGUGAAAUCCUGUAAUCCUCUGGGGACCACCGGUGGCGAAGGCGUCUCGCCAGAACAGGUCCGACGGUGAGGGACGAAAGCUAGGGGCACGAACCGG